UACAGAGGGUGCGAGCGUUGUCCGGAAUCACUGGGCGUAAAGGGCGCGUAGGUGGCGCUCCAAGUCGAUGGUGAAAGCUCGAUGCUCAACAUCGAGUCGGCCACCGAUACUGGAGGGCUUGAGCACUGCAGGGGCAGAUGGAGUUCCGGGUGUAGCGGUGGAAUGCGUAGAGAUCCGGAAGAACACCGGUGGCGAAGGCGGUCUGCUGGGCAGUUGCUGACACUGAGGCGCGACAGCGUGGGGAGCAAACAGG
RNAcentral lists this ribosomal RNA (253 nucleotides) under uncultured bacterium. Its description in RNAcentral is "partial 16S ribosomal RNA". It matches the Rfam family "Bacterial small subunit ribosomal RNA", at positions 524 to 776 of the family's 1533-position model. The record is from RNAcentral.